ACCACUCCACCACCAUCCCAAUCUACCUCCCGCACACCACCUCGACCUCGAGAAGGUCUUCUUCCCCGGCUCCGACUACCGAUCCGCCACCAGCCUCCCUGAUCAGCACGACACCACCACUCCACCCCCACCUCCAAAAAUCUGCCAGUAGCCCACUGAUCCACCAUGUGAUCAUUUCCGUGCUUCAAUUUGACAACCGGAGCCCUCUCCGGCGAAGCCCACAACCACCCGACACCGUCGUCCGCCGGAGUCAACCUCGUCGUCGUCCUGGUGCUCGCCGGCGACCACCACCACUACCCACCUACGCGGGGUGCCACCCCGAACGCGUCCCGACCAUCGCCGCCUCCUGAAACGCUGGCGAUCGCCGCCGAAAGCGAAGAGGGGGACUAUACCGGGAGUUUUGAAGAACCUCUUGCUGAUUACUUUGGUCAAGGCAAGUAUUAUUGGACUUGGGUUAUAGUGAAAUACCUUCCUGGUUGCAUCGGAGUAGUUUUGCACCAUAUAGUAGUGAUAGUGGAAGCAUGCAUCGGUCACGUCAAUUUAAGCACUAUUGCAUGAACCCUGUUGCAUGUCAUGUGAGCACUAUUUCACUCUUCAGGUAUUUUGCUAACGUAUGAAUGUGGAUAGAAUCCAGGAGUGUAUCUCCUGCCUUGGACAUGCCGAUGGGCACGGGCUGUGUCACGACAAGACGGUGUCACUAUGGCAUGUGAGACAUGCCAGUCUUGUAACAAUACCUCCUGAGUCGGCCUAGAAUCGAGUCUUGUUCCUUUAAGCCUAACUACACACCAUGCUGCCACUUGUCUUCCUGCAAGGGGAGUGUGAUUUAGUAAGUUGUUAACCCCUUUCCAUGUAAACACCACUUAGAGAGGCCACGAUGAGGGUUCCACGGCCAUGGACUAAUGCCAGUCAUCGGGUCAGGGGGCAUGGGUGUAUCCGGCUGGGCCGAGAGGGGGGCACCCCUUGUAAUCCGCGUGUAUUAAUAAUGAUUCCAUGCUAUUCGAGA
Triticum aestivum (bread wheat) is the source of this 1003-nucleotide long non-coding RNA. RefSeq lists it as uncharacterized. The record is from RefSeq and is a predicted model, not a curated record. The transcript is spliced from 2 exons. Lineage: Eukaryota; Viridiplantae; Streptophyta; Magnoliopsida; Poales; Poaceae.